UGAAUACGAGAUGCUACGGCGUCGAAGCAGUGUAUGUCAGACUUCCAAGAAAAGCUCGCUAUGUCAUAAAUAAAUAAUGCCUGUACCAUAACCGACACAGGUGGGUAGGUAGAGUAUACUAAGGGGCGCGAGAUAACUCUCUCUAAGGAACUCGGCAAAAUAACUCCGUAACUUCGGGAGAAGGAGUGCCUUAUUUAAUAAGGUUGCAAUAACAAGAUCCAAGCAACUGUUUAUCAAAAACACAGGUCUCCGCUAAGUCGUAAGACGAUGUAUGGGGGCUGACGCCUGCCCAGUGCCAGAAGGUUAAGGAAGUUGGUUAGCAUCUGCGAAGCUGAUAACUGAAGCCCUGGUGAACGGCGGCCGUAACAAUAACGGUCCUAAGGUAGCGAAAUUCCUUGUCGGGUAAGUUCCGACCCGCACGAAAGGCGUAAUGAUUUGGAUACUGUCUCGGAGAGGGGCUCGGUGAAAUAGACUUGUCUGUGAAGAUGCGGACUACCUGCACCAGGACAGAAAGACCCUAUGAAGCUUUACUGUAACUUGGAAUUGAAAUCGGACUUUAUUUGCGCAGUAUAGGUGGGAGGCAUUGAGAAUAUUCUUGCGGGAAUAUUGGAGCCAUCAGUGAGAUACCACUCCUGUAAUGUUAGGUUUCUAACUUUGUAUCAUAAUCUGGUCAAAGGACAGUUUCAGGCGGGCAGUUUGACUGGGGCGGUCGCCUCCUAAAUGGUAACGGAGGCGUACAAAGGUUUCCUCUGAACGGGUAGAAAUCGUAUCUAGAGUGUAAAGGCAUAAGGAAGCUUGACUGUGAGACCUACAAGUCGAGCAGGGACGAAAGUCGGUCUUAGUGAUCUGACGGUGCUGAGUGGAAAGGCCGUCACUCAACGGAUAAAAGUUACUCUAGGAUAACAGGCUGAUCUCCCCCAAGAGUUCACAUCGACGGGGAGGUUUGGCACCUCGAUGUCGGCUCAUCGCAUCCUGGGGCGGUAGUACGUCCCAAGGGUUGGGCUGUUCGCCCAUGAAAGCGGUACGCGAGCUGGGUUCAGAACGUCGUGAGACAGUUCGGUCCAUAUCCGGUGUAGGCGUUAGAAUAUUGAGAGGAGCCUUCUUUAGUACGAGAGGACCGAGAAGGACAUACCUCUGGUGUACCAGUUAUCGUGCCAACGGUAAACGCUGGGUAGCUAUGUAUGGAGAGGAUAACCGCUGAAAGCAUCUAAGUGGGAAGCCCACCUCAAGAUGAG
RNAcentral lists this ribosomal RNA (1235 nucleotides) under metagenome. RNAcentral describes it as "bacterial LSU rRNA". It matches the Rfam family "Bacterial large subunit ribosomal RNA", at positions 1564 to 2808 of the family's 2925-position model. The record is from RNAcentral.